GCAGUGGCGAUUCAGUGGUAGAAUUCUUGUUCUUCCAUGCAGGAGAGCUGGGUUCGAUUCCCAGCCAACACA
Molecule: transfer RNA, 72 nt
Filed under: Loxodonta africana (African savanna elephant)
Lineage: Eukaryota; Metazoa; Chordata; Mammalia; Proboscidea; Elephantidae
Rfam family: tRNA
About the family: Transfer RNA (tRNA) molecules are approximately 80 nucleotides in length.
Source: Rfam by way of RNAcentral